This is a non-coding RNA of Cucumis sativus (cucumber), 95 nucleotides long. Lineage: Eukaryota; Viridiplantae; Streptophyta; Magnoliopsida; Cucurbitales; Cucurbitaceae. The record is from Rfam.
UAGAUGAGGAUGAAGCAAAUACCAUUAAUCCAACACUUGAUCUGAGAUAAUCUAUUCGUUUAUCUUUUGAUGUUAUGUGUAGCUUCUGAAUCUAC